This 137-nucleotide ribosomal RNA is filed under the name uncultured bacterium. RNAcentral's name for it is "partial 16S ribosomal RNA". It matches the Rfam family "Bacterial small subunit ribosomal RNA", at positions 356 to 509 of the family's 1533-position model. The record is from RNAcentral.
AGGGAAUCUUCCACAAUGGGCGGAAAGCCUGAUGGAGCAACGCCGCGUGCAGGAUGAAGGCCCUCGGGUCGUAAACUGCUUUUAUAAGUGAAGAAUAUGACGGUAACUUAUGAAUAAGCACCGGCUAACUACGUGCC